GAGGGUUCCCGGCGCGCACCCGGGUCUCCAGAGCGUCUCCUGCUCCCCCAAGGAGCCGCACGUUGACGUACCAGGUGCCAGGCGCUGUUCUUGUCGCUGGGGAUGCAGCCCCCUCCGGACUGGGACCUACUGUCCAAUGAAGGGAAAUGGAGGAAACCCAAGUCCCCAAGUAGACUGUGAUACCCGUCUGAGGGAGCAAGUGCUAAGAAGAGUGGGGCAAAGGAAGGGUGGAUGGUAAUGAGGUGAGGGGACCUUGCUUUCUGGAGGGUGACAGCUGUGACCGUACAAUGUGACCAGGAUGAUGAAAGCUUCCAUACUGUAAAUGUGGGAGGGACUCUUAGGGAGAGGGGUUCAGGAAGGCAUCCUGAGGGAGGGAAGGAUGGGGAGAAGGGGAGUGGAGUAGGCAAAUGGCCCCUCCCUAAAGAUGUCCAUGUCCUAGUCUCUGGAACCUGUGAAUAUAUUUCGUUACACAGCAAAGAAUAAUUAAGGUUGCCAAUGGAAUUACAGUUACUAAUCAACUGACUUUAAAAUAGAGAGAUUAUCCUGAAUUAUCCGGGUGGGCCCAAUGUAAUCAUGAUGGUCCUUAAAAGUGGAAGAGGGAGACAGGAGAGUCAGAGAAAGAGAUGUGAUGACACAGAAAUGCUGUGUUGCUGCUUUGGAAGAUGGAGGAAGGGGCCACAGACAAAAGCAUGUGGGUGGCCUCUAGAAGCUGGAAAAGUCAAGGAAACAGAUUCUCCCCCAGAACCUCCAGAAGGAACACGGCCCAGCUGACUGCUUGAUUUUAGACCCAUGUUGGACUUCAAACCAACAGAACCGCAGCACAGACGAGGCUCAGUGAGCGACUAUGGAUUGAGUGAAGAACCAAAAAGAACAGCGGUAAGAAGGAUUUGUUCUGCUAGAGGUGGGGAAACAGAUGGAAGAGUUAGGAAGGCUUCAAGAGGAGAUGAUAUUUGAGCAGGGUAUUAAUGGAUGAGUGGGAAUUUGCCAGGCAGAGAAAGGAAAGGAUAUUUCAGGGGGAGCAGGGAGAGGCAAAGGCAAAGGCCAGAAGGAGUGCAAGUAGAUGCAUGGUGUGAGCGGGAAACAAGAUAGAUGUGUCCAGCAGACCAUGGCAUAGGAGAGGGGGAAAGACCAGAAGGGUAGCUGGCGAGCACCAUUAUCCUUGCCCAGCUCCCAUUCCUCUUAUUCUGCUGACCACCCCUCAAUUUUCCAGAGUCUCCAGUAUGAUUGACCUUGCCUCCAAGCUCUAAAAGUGGGUCUGAGGCCCCAGCCUACCCAAUCUGAGUCAUAGGGAUGGUUUAGGGAUGGGCAUGUCAGCAGUGGGCUUCAGCCUGGGAACUUGUGGUGACUAUUAGGGUGACAGAUGCCAAGAUGUCAACUCAGGGCUGUCAACUCACGGAAGAGCUUGUCCAAGAAUAAAGCCAGCACAGAGGAAAGCAGAGCCAAGAGAAUGACUCUCAAUAACAUUGUUCGUGCUUCUGGAUCCAGCCAUGCCUGAAUCAGACAUCCAUUAUAUGAACCAACAACUUACAAUUUUUGUUUAGUCCUGUUGGAAUUGGGUUUCUGUCACUUGCCCAUUAAAGAAUAAUUAAAAGCAGACAAUAGCUCACGAUAGCU
Delphinapterus leucas (beluga whale) is the source of this 1614-nucleotide non-coding RNA. Lineage: Eukaryota; Metazoa; Chordata; Mammalia; Artiodactyla; Monodontidae. The record is from RefSeq and is a predicted model, not a curated record.